RNAcentral lists this small nucleolar RNA (218 nucleotides) under Propithecus coquereli (Coquerel's sifaka). RNAcentral describes it as "Small nucleolar RNA U3 (ENSPCOG00000012264.1)". It matches the Rfam family "Small nucleolar RNA U3". Rfam says of the family: Small nucleolar RNAs (snoRNAs) are involved in the processing and modification of rRNA in the nucleolus. There are two main classes of snoRNAs: the box C/D class, and the box H/ACA class. The record is from Rfam by way of RNAcentral. Lineage: Eukaryota; Metazoa; Chordata; Mammalia; Primates; Indriidae.
AAGACUAUACUUUCGGGGAUCAUUUCUAUACUUCGUUACUUGAGAAGCUUCUCGGAAUGUGUAGAGCACUGGAAACCAGGAGGAGGAGGUGCAGCGUCCUCUCCUGAGUGUGAAGCCGGCUCUUGGUGUUGCUUCGCUGCAACUGCCAUUUGCCAUUGGUGAUCGUUUUUCUCUCCUUUCCGGGGAGUGAGAGUAGGAGAGGACACAGUCUGAGUGGU